GUGCCGCUUCGGCAGCACAUAUACUAAAAUUGGAAGGAUACAGAGAAGAUUAGCAUGGCCUCUGCGCAAGAAUAGCUAUGAUUUUAAGUAAAGGGACAGGAACCAACCAGUGCUU
Small nuclear RNA from Callithrix jacchus (white-tufted-ear marmoset), 115 nucleotides. The record is from Ensembl. Lineage: Eukaryota; Metazoa; Chordata; Mammalia; Primates; Cebidae.